CAUAUUAAUUUGUAGUUUGUAUAUUAAAUAACACCUUGUUGCGUACCGUCCUAUGGUUUUAAUAAAUGUGUUGUCAUUUCUUUUUUAUUACUACUAACAUAAAUUUUUAGUGAUCAGUGAUAAUUUAUUUUUAACGUUCAGAAUUAUAUUUGAUCGUAUAUUUUCUAACUCUUCAUGCUUACACUUUUUUCGAAUCAUUUUAAUUAGAUAAUAGGAUUAAAGAUGUAAAUAAAACUGUGUAUGUUCUAAAUUUAGACUUUUUAGUGUAACUGAGCACUAUCAAUUAUGGAAAUUAUAUUAUGAUUUUAUUUCACUAAAUCUUUCUUUAUGUGUAUAUUUUUUGUUUUAUUUUGUGUGUUUUACAAUUUUAUUGCAUUAUUCUUUAAUUGGAGAGAAUUGGUACUUCCAAUUUUUGUUUCAUAUACCUUAAAAGUCUUCGGUUGAUUUUUGUUUGUUUUCUUUCUCCAAUUACAAUGUACAGUGCGACAAUUUCUUUUUUUUUUUGGAUCAAACUACUAAUAGAAAAGUUUAAACUCCAAGAAUGAAGUGAGUAUUUGUGCUAGAGAAGACUGAUUUAGCCACUAAUGUAGUGAAAUAUUAUAAUAUUAAAAGGUAUGGAAACUCUUCUCAGUUGUCUUAUGCUGGACAUAAUUAAGUUGUUGUCAAUUGAUUAUAUAUUUAUGAUAACUGGAAAUACAUUUUUAUUUCUCCCUUACAUUAUCUUUAAUUGGUUUACGGUUCGACCAUUUCUAAUAUACUGAGAGUAACAUAAUAUUAGAUGUAGAUUAUCUCCUUCCAAUUAGGAAUGCACAGAAUUAGAGAAAUUCAAAGUGAGACCACUUUAAAUCCUC
RNAcentral lists this long non-coding RNA (851 nucleotides) under Brassica rapa (field mustard). RNAcentral's name for it is "long non-coding RNA (BRAP_LNC006831)". Lineage: Eukaryota; Viridiplantae; Streptophyta; Magnoliopsida; Brassicales; Brassicaceae. The record is from RNAcentral.